Molecule: ribosomal RNA, 483 nt
Filed under: uncultured bacterium
Lineage: Bacteria
Description: partial 16S ribosomal RNA
Rfam family: Bacterial small subunit ribosomal RNA
Source: RNAcentral
AUUGAACGCUGGCGGCAGGCCUAACACAUGCAAGUCGAGCGGAUGAAGGGAGCUUGCUCCUGGAUUCAGCGGCGGACGGGUGAGUAAUGCCUAGGAAUCUGCCUGGUAGUUGUGGAUAACGUCCGGAAACGGGCGCUAAUACCGCAUACGUCCUUAGGACGAAAGGGUGAGAUCUUCGGACCUCACGCUAUCAGAUGAGCCUAGGUGGGAUUGUCUGGUUGGUGGGGUAAAGGCCUACAAAGCCAACGAGCCGUAACUGGUCUGAGAGGAUGAUCAGCACACCUGGACCUGAGCAACGGUCCAGACCCCAAGGGGAGGCAGCAGUGGGGAUUUUUGGCAAAUGGGCGAAAGCCUGACCAAGCCAUGCGGCGUGGGUGAAGAAGGUCUUCGGAUUGUAAAGCAUUUUAUGUUGGGAGGAAGGGAAGUAAGUUAAUACCUGGCUGUUUGGACGUUACCAACAGAAUAAGCACCGGCUACCUCCGU